Molecule: ribosomal RNA, 1552 nt
Filed under: Staphylococcus aureus
Lineage: Bacteria; Bacillati; Bacillota; Bacilli; Caryophanales; Staphylococcaceae
Description: 16S ribosomal RNA
Rfam family: Bacterial small subunit ribosomal RNA
Source: RNAcentral
UUUAUGGAGAGUUUGAUCCUGGCUCAGGAUGAACGCUGGCGGCGUGCCUAAUACAUGCAAGUCGAGCGAACGGACGAGAAGCUUGCUUCUCUGAUGUUAGCGGCGGACGGGUGAGUAACACGUGGAUAACCUACCUAUAAGACUGGGAUAACUUCGGGAAACCGGAGCUAAUACCGGAUAAUAUUUUGAACCGCAUGGUUCAAAAGUGAAAGACGGUCUUGCUGUCACUUAUAGAUGGAUCCGCGCUGCAUUAGCUAGUUGGUAAGGUAACGGCUUACCAAGGCAACGAUGCAUAGCCGACCUGAGAGGGUGAUCGGCCACACUGGAACUGAGACACGGUCCAGACUCCUACGGGAGGCAGCAGUAGGGAAUCUUCCGCAAUGGGCGAAAGCCUGACGGAGCAACGCCGCGUGAGUGAUGAAGGUCUUCGGAUCGUAAAACUCUGUUAUUAGGGAAGAACAUAUGUGUAAGUAACUGUGCACAUCUUGACGGUACCUAAUCAGAAAGCCACGGCUAACUACGUGCCAGCAGCCGCGGUAAUACGUAGGUGGCAAGCGUUAUCCGGAAUUAUUGGGCGUAAAGCGCGCGUAGGCGGUUUUAAGUCUGAUGUGAAAGCCCACGGCUCAACCGUGGAGGGUCAUUGGAAACUGGAAAACUUGAGUGCAGAAGAGGAAAGUGGAAUUCCAUGUGUAGCGGUGAAAUGCGCAGAGAUAUGGAGGAACACCAGUGGCGAAGGCGACUUUCUGGUCUGUAACUGACGCUGAUGUGCGAAAGCGUGGGGAUCAAACAGGAUUAGAUACCCUGGUAGUCCACGCCGUAAACGAUGAGUGCUAAGUGUUAGGGGGUUUCCGCCCCUUAGUGCUGCAGCUAACGCAUUAAGCACUCCGCCUGGGGAGUACGACCGCAAGGUUGAAACUCAAAGGAAUUGACGGGGACCCGCACAAGCGGUGGAGCAUGUGGUUUAAUUCGAAGCAACGCGAAGAACCUUACCAAAUCUUGACAUCCUUUGACAACUCUAGAGAUAGAGCCUUCCCCUUCGGGGGACAAAGUGACAGGUGGUGCAUGGUUGUCGUCAGCUCGUGUCGUGAGAUGUUGGGUUAAGUCCCGCAACGAGCGCAACCCUUAAGCUUAGUUGCCAUCAUUAAGUUGGGCACUCUAAGUUGACUGCCGGUGACAAACCGGAGGAAGGUGGGGAUGACGUCAAAUCAUCAUGCCCCUUAUGAUUUGGGCUACACACGUGCUACAAUGGACAAUACAAAGGGCAGCGAAACCGCGAGGUCAAGCAAAUCCCAUAAAGUUGUUCUCAGUUCGGAUUGUAGUCUGCAACUCGACUACAUGAAGCUGGAAUCGCUAGUAAUCGUAGAUCAGCAUGCUACGGUGAAUACGUUCCCGGGUCUUGUACACACCGCCCGUCACACCACGAGAGUUUGUAACACCCGAAGCCGGUGGAGUAACCUUUUAGGAGCUAGCCGUCGAAGGUGGGACAAAUGAUUGGGGUGAAGUCGUAACAAGGUAGCCGUAUCGGAAGGUGCGGCUGGAUCACCUCCUUUCU